AUGAACGCUGGCGGCGUGCCUCAUCCCUGCAAGUCGAGCGAACAGACGAGGAGCUUGCUCCUCUGACGUUAGCGGCGGACGGGUGAGUAACACGUGGAUAACCUACCUAUAAGACUGGGAUAACUUCGGGAAACCGGAGCUAAUACCGGAUAAUAUAUUGAACCGCAUGGUUCAAUAGUGAAAGACGGUUUUGCUGUCACUUAUAGAUGGAUCCGCGCCGCAUUAGCUAGUUGGUAAGGUAACGGCUUACCAAGGCAACGAUGCGUAGCCGACCUGAGAGGGUGAUCGGCCACACUGGAACUGAGACACGGUCCAGACUCCUACGGGAGGCAGCAGUAGGGAAUCUUCCGCAAUGGGCGAAAGCUUGACGGAGCAACGCCGCGUGAGUGAUGAAGGUCUUCGGAUCGUAAAACUCUGUUAUUAGGGAAGAACAAAUGUGUAAGUAACUAUGCACGUCUUGACGGUACCUAAUCAGAAAGCCACGGCUAACUACGUG
Molecule: ribosomal RNA, 496 nt
Filed under: uncultured bacterium
Lineage: Bacteria
Description: partial 16S ribosomal RNA
Rfam family: Bacterial small subunit ribosomal RNA
Source: RNAcentral